UGAGGUGCUUGCACCUUAUCUUAGCGGCGGACGGGUGAGUAAUGCUUAGGAAUCUGCCUAUUAGUGGGGGACAACAUUCCGAAAGGAAUGCUAAUACCGCAUACGCCCUACGGGGGAAAGCAGGGGAUCUUCGGACCUUGCGCUAAUAGAUGAGCCUAAGUCGGAUUAGCUAGUUGGUGGGGUAAAGGCCUACCAAGGCGACGAUCUGUAGCGGGUCUGAGAGGAUGAUCCGCCACACUGGGACUGAGACACGGCCCAGACUCCUACGGGAGGCAGCAGUGGGGAAUAUUGGACAAUGGGCGGAAGCCUGAUCCAGCCAUGCCGCGUGUGUGAAGAAGGCCUUUUGGUUGUAAAGCACUUUAAGCGAGGAGGAGGCUACUUAGAUUAAUACUCUAGGAUAGUGGACGUUACUCGCAGAAUAAGCACCGGCUAACUCUGUGCCAGCAGCCGCGGUAAUACAGAGGGUGCGAGCGUUAAUCGGAUUUACUGGGCGUAAAGCGUGCGUAGGCGGCUGAUUAAGUUGGGUGUGAAAUCCCCGGGCUCAACCUGGGAAUUGCACUCAAAACUGCGUGGCUAGAGUGUGGGAGAGGAAGGUAGAAUUCCAGGUGUAGCGGUGAAAUGCGUAGAUAUCUGGAGGAAUACCGAUGGCGAAGGCAGCCUUCUGGCCUAACACUGACGCUGAGGUGCGAAAGCAUGGGGAGCAAACAGGAUUAGAUACCCUGGUAGUCCAUGCCGUAAACGAUGUCUACUAGCCGUUGGGGGACUUGAUCCUUUAGUGGCGCAGCUAACGCAUUAAGUAGACCGCCUGGGGAGUACGGUCGCAAGACUAAAACUCAAAUGAAUUGACGGGGGCCCGCACAAGCGGUGGAGCAUGUGGUUUAAUUCGAUGCAACGCGAAGAACCU
RNAcentral lists this ribosomal RNA (904 nucleotides) under uncultured bacterium. RNAcentral describes it as "bacterial SSU rRNA". It matches the Rfam family "Bacterial small subunit ribosomal RNA", at positions 72 to 971 of the family's 1533-position model. The record is from RNAcentral.